This is a long non-coding RNA of Apis dorsata (giant honeybee), 798 nucleotides long. RefSeq lists it as uncharacterized. The record is from RefSeq and is a predicted model, not a curated record. The transcript is spliced from 2 exons. Lineage: Eukaryota; Metazoa; Arthropoda; Insecta; Hymenoptera; Apidae.
GUUGAAAAAUAUUGUGGAUAAUAUAAGAGUUAAAAAAGAAUAUGAUAAAAUAGAAUUUCAAUCUCUCGCCUAAAAUUUCAAGCUUGCUUCCUGUUACAGAAAUUGAGUCGACUUUGAAACAUAAUCGUUCACAUAUCCAGAGACAUCCUGUUUUCAACGCAUCGCUACAUUCAUACGAUUAGCUUGAUUAUAUCAUAUUUACACUAGCGCCAAGACUGGUCUCUAACUAAGAUUAAUUCGCUUCGAGUUUCUGAAAUGACCCAAUUACGAGUUAAAAUUGAAACUCUACCAUGCUAAAAAUCCUCGAAGGAAGAAACUUCUAGUCCAGGUAAUAAUUACUUAUCAUCAAAAACUUUAAAACCGUCCAAUAAGCGAAAGAAUUAACUUUUCAAUUUACGUAAUACACAGUUUUAUGUAAGAUGGAACGAGUACUUCUACGAUUCGAAAACGGAAGAAGAAUCACGCAAAGUGACCUAUCGAAUGAAGAGGAAGAGGGGAAAGAAGGUUAAUUUCCGCUCGAUCGAAGGGUCGUUGCUCGUCCUCGACCGUCUUCGAAAUAAGGACACGCAAACAAGGACACAGAGCAAUCCAGUUUUCUCGUGAAUUCGUCCUUGACUUUUCACCUUUCAUCUUUUCACCAAAUUUUAAGAGAGGCGAAGAAAAAAAUUAGGUUAGAAGACCAAAAGAGAAAGUGUAAACGGGAUAAAAAGUUGGUCAGUCCAGGAAGUAGUCGGUGAAGCUCCAAUGCGAGACCAAGGAAAAAAAAAAAGAAAAAAAGAGAUUCGGCGGAUGGAAAGG